UCGGGAAUUUUGGGCAAUGGGGGCAACCCUGACCCAGCAACGCCGCGUGAGGGAUGAAGGCCUUCGGGUCGUAAACCUCUGUCGGGAGGGAAGAAAGGCGAACGGUCGAAUAGGCCGGGCACUUGACGGUACCUCCAAAGGAAGCACCGGCUAACUCCGUGCCAGCAGCCGCGGUAAUACGGAGGGUGCGAGCGUUGUUCGGAAUCUUUGGGCGUAAAGCGCGUGUAGGCGGCUUGGCAAGUCGGGUGUGAAAGGCCGGGGCUCAACGCCGGAACUGCACUCGAAACUGCCUCGCUCGAGUCCCGGAGAGGAAGGCGGAAUUCCCGGUGUAGAGGUGAAAUUCGUAGAUAUCGGGAGGAACACCAGUGGCGAAGGCGGCCUUCUGGACGGUGACUGACGCUGAGACGCGAAAGCGUGGGGAGCAAACAGGAUUAGAUACCCCCGUAGUCC
This 450-nucleotide ribosomal RNA is filed under the name uncultured prokaryote. Its description in RNAcentral is "bacterial SSU rRNA". It matches the Rfam family "Bacterial small subunit ribosomal RNA", at positions 355 to 796 of the family's 1533-position model. The record is from RNAcentral.